GCUUAACAUGCAAGUCGAACGGCAGCGCGAGAGAGCUUGCUCUCUUGGCGGCGAGUGGCGGACGGGUGAGUAAUAUAUCGGAACGUGCCCAGUAGCGGGGGAUAACUACUCGAAAGAGUGGCUAAUACCGCAUACGCCCUACGGGGGAAAGGGGGGGAUCGCAAGACCUCUCACUAUUGGAGCGGCCGAUAUCGGAUUAGCUAGUUGGUGGGGUAAAGGCUCACCAAGGCAACGAUCCGUAGCUGGUUUGAGAGGACGACCAGCCACACUGGGACUGAGACACGGCCCAGACUCCUACGGGAGGCAGCAGUGGGGAAUUUUGGACAAUGGGGGAAACCCUGAUCCAGCCAUCCCGCGUGUAUGAUGAAGGCCUUCGGGUUGUAAAGUACUUUUGGCAGAGAAGAAAAGGUAUCUCCUAAUACGAGAUACUGCUGACGGUAUCUGCAGAAUAAGCACCGGCUAACUACGUGCCAGCAGCCGCGGUAAUACGUAGGGUGCAAGCGUUAAUCGGAAUUACUGGGCGUAAAGCGUGUGUAGGCGGUUCGGAAAGAAAGAUGUGAAAUCCCAGGGCUCAACCUUGGAACUGCAUUUUUAACUGCCGAGCUAGAGUAUGUCAGAGGGGGGUAGAAUUCCACGUGUAGCAGUGAAAUGCGUAGAUAUGUGGAGGAAUACCGAUGGCGAAGGCAGCCCCCUGGGAUAAUACUGACGCUCAGACACGAAAGCGUGGGGAGCAAACAGGAUUAGAUACCCUGGUAGUCCACGCCCUAAACGAUGUCAACUAGCUGUUGGGGCCGUUAGGCCUUAGUAGCGCAGCUAACGCGUGAAGUUGACCGCCUGGGGAGUACGGUCGCAAGAUUAAAAACUCAAAGGAAUUGACGGGGACCCCCACAAGCGGUGGAUGAUGUGGAUUAAUUCGAUGCAACCCGAAAAACCUUACCUACCCUUGACAUGUCUGGAAAGCCCAAAAAAUUUUGGCCGUGCUCCCAAAAAAACCGGAACACAGGGUGCUGCAUGGCUUUUCCUCCCCCUCCUGUCCGGAAAAUUUUGGGUUAAAUCCCCCAACCAAGCCCAACCCCUUUUCUUUAUUUGCUUCCCAAAACCCCCUUAAAUGAAACUGCCGGGUGAAAAACCGAAAA
This 1136-nucleotide ribosomal RNA is filed under the name Bacterium MPBA40. RNAcentral's name for it is "bacterial SSU rRNA". It matches the Rfam family "Bacterial small subunit ribosomal RNA", at positions 46 to 1169 of the family's 1533-position model. The record is from RNAcentral.